CGGCAGCGGGAAGUAGCUUGCUACUUUUGCCGGCGAGCGGCGGACGGGUGAGUAAUGCCUGGGGAUCUGCCCAGUCGAGGGGGAUAACUACUGGAAACGGUAGCUAAUACCGCAUACGCCCUACGGGGGAAAGCAGGGGACCUUCGGGCCUUGCGCGAUUGGAUGAACCCAGGUGGGAUUAGCUAGUUGGUGAGGUAAUGGCUCACCAAGGCGACGAUCCCUAGCUGGUCUGAGAGGAUGAUCAGCCACACUGGAACUGAGACACGGUCCAGACUCCUACGGGAGGCAGCAUUGGGGAAUAUUGCACAAUGGGGGAAACCCUGAUGCAGCCAUGCCGCGUGUGUGAAGAAGGCCUUCGGGUUGUAAAGCACUUUCAGCGAGGAGGAUAGGUUGGUAGCUAAUAACUGCCAGCUGUGACGUUACUCGCAUAUUAUUUCUCCGGCUAACUCCGUGCCAGCAGCCGCGGUAAUACGGGGGGUGCAAGCGUUAAUCCGCAAUUACUGGGCGUAAAGCCCACGCAGGCUGUUGGAUUAUUUUAUAUGUUGAAAGCCCUCGGUCUCAACCCUGAGAAUUGCAUUUAAAACUGGUCCAGCUAAAGUCUUGUAGAGGGGGGGUAGAAUUCCAGGUGGAGCGGUGAAAUGCCCAAAGAUCCUGACGGA
RNAcentral lists this ribosomal RNA (659 nucleotides) under uncultured bacterium. RNAcentral's name for it is "bacterial SSU rRNA". It matches the Rfam family "Bacterial small subunit ribosomal RNA", at positions 67 to 706 of the family's 1533-position model. The record is from RNAcentral.